RNAcentral lists this ribosomal RNA (447 nucleotides) under uncultured bacterium. RNAcentral describes it as "bacterial SSU rRNA". It matches the Rfam family "Bacterial small subunit ribosomal RNA", at positions 331 to 793 of the family's 1533-position model. The record is from RNAcentral.
CCAGACUCCUACGGGAGGCAGCAGUGGGGAAUAUUGCACAAUGGGGGGAACCCUGAUGCAGCGACGCCGCGUGAGUGAAGAAGUAAUUCGUUAUGUAAAGCUCUAUCAGCAGGGAAGAAAAUGACGGUACCUGAAGAAGAAGCCCCGGCUAACUACGUGCCAGCAGCCGCGGUAAUACGUAGGGGGCAAGCGUUAUCCGGAUUUACUGGGUGUAAAGGGAGCGUAGACGGUUGUGCAAGUCAGAAGUGAAAGCCCGGGGCUCAACUCCGGGACUGCUUUUGAAACUGUGAAACUGGAGUGCAGGAGAGGUAAGCGGAAUUCCUGGUGUAGCGGUGAAAUGCGUAGAUAUCAGGAGGAACACCAGUGGCGAAGGCGGCUUACUGGACUGUAACUGACGUUGAGGCUCGAAAGCGUGGGGAGCAAACAGGAUUAGAUACCCCGGUAAGG